RNAcentral lists this ribosomal RNA (253 nucleotides) under uncultured bacterium. Its description in RNAcentral is "partial 16S ribosomal RNA". It matches the Rfam family "Bacterial small subunit ribosomal RNA", at positions 524 to 776 of the family's 1533-position model. The record is from RNAcentral.
UACGUAGGGUGCGAGCGUUAAUCGGAAUUACUGGGCGUAAAGCGUGCGCAGGCGGUUCGUUAAGUCGGAUGUGAAAGCCCUCGGCUCAACUGAGGAAGUGCACCCGAAACUGGCGAGCUUGAGUACGAAAGAGGAUCGCGGAAUUCCCGGUGUAGAGGUGAAAUUCGUAGAUAUCGGGAGGAACACCGGUGGCGAAGGCGGCGAUCUGGGUCGAUACUGACGCUGAGGUGCGAAAGCGUGGGGAGCAAACAGG